UACGAAGGGGGCUAGCGUUGUUCGGAAUCACUGGGCGUAAAGCGCACGUAGGCGGAUCUUUAAGUCAGGGGUGAAAUCCCGAGGCUCAACCUCGGAACUGCCUUUGAUACUGGAGAUCUUGAGUCCGGAAGAGGUGAGUGGAACUGCGAGUGUAGAGGUGAAAUUCGUAGAUAUUCGCAAGAACACCAGUGGCGAAGGCGGCUCACUGGCCCGAUACUGACGCUGAGGUGCGAAAGCGUGGGGAGCAAACAGG
This 253-nucleotide ribosomal RNA is filed under the name uncultured bacterium. RNAcentral describes it as "partial 16S ribosomal RNA". It matches the Rfam family "Bacterial small subunit ribosomal RNA", at positions 524 to 776 of the family's 1533-position model. The record is from RNAcentral.